AGCGAACGCUGGCGGCAGGCUUAACACAUGCAAGUCGAGCGGGCGCAGCAAUACGUCAGCGGCAGACGGGUGAGUAACGCGUGGGAACAUACCUUUUGGUUCGGAACAACUGAGGGAAACUUCAGCUAAUACCGGAUAAGCCCUUACGGGGAAAGGUUUAUCGCCGAAAGAUUGGCCCGCGUCUGAUUAACUUGUUGGUGAGGUAACGGCUCACCAAGGCGACGAUCAGUAGCUGGUCNGAGAGGAUGAUCAGCCACAUUGGGACUGAGACACGGCCCAAACUCCUACGGGAGGCAGCAGUGGGGAAUAUUGGACAAUGGGCGCAAGCCUGAUCCAGCCAUGCCGCGUGAGUGAUGAAGGCCCUAGGGUUGUAAAGCUCUUUUGUGCGGGAAGAUAAUGACGGUACCGCAAGAAUAAGCCCC
This 422-nucleotide ribosomal RNA is filed under the name uncultured bacterium. RNAcentral's name for it is "bacterial SSU rRNA". It matches the Rfam family "Bacterial small subunit ribosomal RNA", at positions 29 to 494 of the family's 1533-position model. The record is from RNAcentral.